UAGGUUUUUGUUUCACCAUUUUAGUUUAGACUCCCCAUUUUAUUUUGAGUUGUGCAUUGUUAUUUGUGCUUGAGAAACAUUCCACUUGAACUUUAUAUUUUAAUGAACUUAGAAGUAAUUAUUGUCCUAUAUUUCUUUCCGAUUUCACAGCUGCCUGGUACUAGCAGCAAGAACCUCCAUCUGUGCCUGCCCCCAGGUCAAGAUCUACCGUGGCUCAAGGGCCUCCACCACAGCCAUCACGAUCAACCCAGCCAGCAAAGAAGUCUCUCCUAGCAGACAUACCUCCCACACAGCCGCCAGCAUCAACCUGGGCCAAUCACACCUAGCUCCCUCCGACACAGCCACCAGCAGCCCAUGCACCAUCACCCCCACCUACACAGCAGCCAGACCCACUGUCCUGGAAGACAGA
Notothenia coriiceps (black rockcod) is the source of this 409-nucleotide long non-coding RNA. RefSeq lists it as uncharacterized. The record is from RefSeq and is a predicted model, not a curated record. NCBI's taxonomy places the organism in Eukaryota, Metazoa, Chordata, Actinopteri, Perciformes, Nototheniidae. The transcript is spliced from 2 exons.